UACGUAGGGGGCAAGCGUUGUCCGGAUUUAUUGGGCGUAAAGAGCUCGUAGGCGGUUCCGUAAGUCGUGAAGUCAAAUCUCUGGGCUCAACCCAGAAUCGCUUCCGAUACUGCGGUGACUGGAGUCCGGUAGGGGAGUGUGGAAUUCCUGGUGUAGCGGUGAAAUGCGCAGAUAUCAGGAGGAGCACCGGUGGCGAAGGCGGAUCUCUGGGCCGAUACUGACGCUGAGGAGCGAAAGCGUGGGGAGCGAACAGG
Molecule: ribosomal RNA, 254 nt
Filed under: uncultured bacterium
Lineage: Bacteria
Description: partial 16S ribosomal RNA
Rfam family: Bacterial small subunit ribosomal RNA
Source: RNAcentral